Salmo salar (Atlantic salmon) is the source of this 1675-nucleotide non-coding RNA. Lineage: Eukaryota; Metazoa; Chordata; Actinopteri; Salmoniformes; Salmonidae. The record is from RefSeq and is a predicted model, not a curated record.
UAUUUGUUUUCUAUUACAUUUUGAAUGGCCACUUAGAUACUUAAACAUAUGGAACGCAAAUGCAUUCUCUAACUUGAACGUUAUAGCUAUGGACCUUGUUGUGCACAAGUUAGGACACCCGCUAACCAGUUUUGUUUCUUUUCAUUUGACUUUAUCUGAUGCAAGAUGUCAUCUCGUCGACCUUUUGGUUCGGUAACUAGUUAGCGAGCUACAGUUAGCUAACGUUAGCUUGGCUACCUAGCCAACUAGCUAACGUUAGUUAGUGCAGUCAUUUAAAGAUAGGCUACGACCAGAUGAGGUACUGGCUUACUGUGAAAAGUUGCCCGCUAAACUGAUGUAGGUAGAAGAAACAGGCACUGUUGUGACAAAUGUUUGAAACCAGCUGGGGUUGUUGGGUUACUCCCUAGCUAAGUCAUAUGUUUACAAACCUCUCAGGGGCCCAGCCCACCAGUAAAGCUGUAUAAACACCGGGUCGACGGGACAGACGGCAGCGACGCGUCGUCGUACGGGGAGGUCCGCAGUGACAUCACGAUGAGCUACAAACCCAUCGCCCCUGCCCCGUCCGGCUCCAACCACACCCCGCCAGUGUGACCUUCUCCAGUGUCAGGGACACGUUCCCUCUCUCCAGCCCCCCAGUUAGAGACACCCUGCCCCUGUACCAGGGGUCCACAGGACCAUCCUGGAUCGUGUGAUCUUUGUACAACUUGGCAGGUCGGUUGAAGUCACCGGACCAGUACCAGUGUACCUCCAAUCUCUCCGCAUUAAAGAGAGGAUAGAGAGAGAGCAGUUCCACCGGGUCAAGACCGAAACAUGAGGGAACCACAAGGUGAAGACCGCUGGGGUAGGAGGGAGAUGUAGUGCUUUUUAAGAGGAAGUGCAAAUAAUACAUUUAAAUAGGGCAUUAUAACACAUUGCUUCACAAGGCUUUAUAAAGCCUGAUCUGAAUCCUCUAUGACUAUGGUUAUAGAUGUUGAUGAGCAGUUAUUACUACUUGUGUGGGGCAUUGUAAUUCAUUAUGUAUAGUUCAUAAGGGAUACAUAUGCUUAUGGAUUAUGAAGAGGAUAAGUGUAGGAGCUUUUGCAACUAGCAAACAGUUGAUAUGCUCACCAGGACUUUGAGCUGCCAUGAGGACUGUGAGAGCUGCCAGUAUCAUCAAAUUCAGCCACACUCCUGUCGUAAAGAUCAGAACAUCAAUGUGAUGACAAUAUCAUCAUAACUGCAGGUAUUAGAAGAAGUUUAAUCUAUUGUGUCAUUAAACACAGGGUGCAAUUUUCAGUAUAGUAUGUUGCACAUCCCUUAAUGUGGCCCUGGUCAUUUGAUUCAAUUCCACGUUGUGUCUCAAAGCUAAAACCAUUAGGUCAUACAACCAAUGUGUUGGAACCCUUGAACAAAUAGACUGUGUUAUACUGAACUUUGGACCUUGGGCUGUUGGAUAAGUUUUAUCUUAUAACUGCUAUUAUUACUGCUAUAAAACAUACACAAUUGGAGCCAUUGUUGAAAUAUACAGUCGCUAGUGAAAGUCUACACACCCCUUGCAGUCUCCACAUUUUCCUGCCUUAAAAUUCAAUGUAAAAAUGGUUGAAUUAGAUGUUUCCUACCAAUCUACACAACCUACUCCACAUUUUCAAAGUGAAGAAAAUUUUUAGAAAAUGUUCCUAAUUAAUGAAAAAUGAAA